UCCGCGCGAGAACUAAAAGCUUCGAGUCUUUCCUCUUCCACUUCCCCAAUUAAUGCGUUGUCCUCUUCUCCUUCCAUCCCCGGCAACGUUUUCAAUUCUUCGAUCUUCCCACCACAAAUACACAUGAAACGGCAUGCAAUCAAUCAUCGAUCUUCAUCACCCGUAGAGGGAUUUUCUUGGUCAUCCCCUUCCGGUGACGGGACGAAUUUGAGCUCUCUCCGCCACCACUGCUCCACCGCGGACACCUGCUCGGGGAAUCAGAAACCUUUAUCUACCUGAGUUGAAUCCCCCACCGUGACCCAUCUCCUUCCGGUACCAUGUGGGGGCUGGACGGGACAGAUCUGCAGGCAUCGCCGCCGCCACCGCGCAGCCUCUGCGGCUGCAUAUUCUUCUUCCCCAUCUCCAGCGACGCGCUCGAACACCUCAUCGAGCACACCACGGGUGGCACUUGCCGUGGAGGUCAACAUGUGUUCGUCAAAUAUGGCGAUCCAAGCCGCCUUCUGCUCGCUCGGCCGCUCAUGCCAUGUUCAAUCUUCUCCGUGCCAUCACCGGCUGCCUGGCGUUGCCGUCUUCUAUAUCCUGAAGAUGCGCCUCCACAAUUUCUUCUCACCGUAGUUCACAUGAGGGUCGGUUUGGUUGAGCUUCGUGAUGGAGAAAGUCUUGAAGCAAUCGAUUGGACUCGGUGCAGGUUCGAUUUCUUCCUGGUCUGUAGCCCAAUUGCUCCGAACCACACGCAAUUUGUGAGCGAACUAGCGACAUACUGAUUGCCGGCUGGGAAUUUUGCUGAUGCACGCCAUGGAUGCAUCCAUGCGAAACCUGCACGUGCAUGGCCUCAAGCAAAAUCUGGCGGUGCUGCGUGGGCCUUGCUGAAGAGUACAUGGAGAACGUCAGAUAUCUAGAAUUGUGAAGGAAUUAAUUUAUGUUUUCCUAUCUAGAGGAUUUGAAUGCUAUGUAGUUUUUAAUACUUGAUGAAAUUCUGAUUAUACGCAUUGUACUACAUAUCGAAUUAUUCUGCAUUUCAGUGGUAUCUAUACUACUAUUAAACAAUCAAACUAAUUCUUUCUUAACGCCACACGACAGCUGUACACAGUUUGAUUAGCACCGCACGAUUAGGCCCACUAAACUUAAUCUAAUGACUAGCUUUAACUUAAUCUGUUAUCUGAUGUGCACUUAGUAAUUUAGAUUGGCUGAACGUGCUUCACCGCGCGAAGCACCGCCCCGCACGUUGGCAGUCCCUACAAUCACGCAAGGGCAGGAAAAAAAAAGGAAAGCCAUCGCAAUCUGAUCCCCUCACUCGCUAACUGCCCUGCCAGGCCGCGACUCACGCCGUCCGGACGAGGGUCGGACUCCUACGCCACAUGCGCCGCCGCCUGACCCUCCUCCGCCACCACAGCCGCCGCAGAACCGACCAGUGCGCGGCGCCUCUCCCACCGUGACCCGCGAUGCCGGCAGCACCUCCCACCCCCUCCUAUCAUCUCCCUAUCCCUACCCAGCGGACGACCAGAGGAGGAGGAGCUGACGUCUCCCUCCUUCACCUACCCCUACGGUGAGCGGAGACGAUGCCCUCUCGCCAUGCACGCCCUUGAUCCGGACGGCACCGCCGAGCCCGUGGUCCUCCUCCACAGGUCACCGGAUGCAGCCAAGAUCCGUCCAGUCCUCCCACAUCGGCAACCAUGGUAGUCCUCUGCACCCAAGCUUUGCCCAUAAGCUCCAUGUGCAUUGGCAGAUUUCAGCCGGCGAUUUGGAUCGAGCAAGUCACAGGAGCUUGCCUGCAACACCCAGUCUUUGAUCUGGUUUGUUCUUCAUAUCAGACGUUCUGGUGUAUCAAAUCCAUCUGCACUGCAUACAUUGGGAUUGAAACGAUGCCAUGAUAGUUGGCAUUCACGCUUCAGAUUUCCCACAUUUACAUGAGAAGAAACCAUGCUUCUAUAUAGGAGAAGUUGCGCAAGAUUUGAAGCGUGGUUUAAAUUACUAGAUUUCUUAACUCAGCAUCAUUGGAUCGAAGAUGGUUAGGAGGUUGAAGGUAUGUCGCGUGAAAGGCGCGGGGAGGCAAGGACGGGACACGCAGGACACUGCAGUGGAGGACGAACACCGCAGCAAGGUAUGUGCAGAGAACAACCACUGUCGCGAAGUCACGACUCCUCUCUUGCAUGUCCGCUUCUCCUUGGUUGCCUGGUCAUCAUCAUAUCACAAAUCAAAGUUUUCUUAUUGCGAACUAGAGAAGAUAAAUUUGAUGGCUGUAAAUUGCCUGAAGUGCAAGGUCUAAUUCUAUUAUGUGUUGAGUUUAUUAGCAAGAUUGGUCCGUUUUGAUACAGUUUCAUUCUGGUUGCCAUCUACGAGUUACUGUUGCAUCACAGUAAUUUAUUUGGAAGCAGUUAUAAUUCAGAUUGAGACUUUCUGGGUAGGUUGUCACAAGUAUUUAACUUAUGAUUUCAGUUUGAGAUACAACCGGCAAUCUGAAAUCAGUACUGCUGCUCAGACAAUCUAGAGGGGAUAUAAAAUUUCUUUGCAAAGCUUGUACACAAGCUUAAGAAUAUGCCUGCUACUUCUUUUUUUAGGGAAAUAAAAUGCCUGCUACUUUGGGAUAUUGUGGUGUUAUUAAAUGACCGCUUCAUAAAUCAUAAUAUGAGAUGGUGUUUGGUCAACCAAACAUGAAGAAUAUUGGAACAAAAAGACGAAGAAUAUUGGUCAACCAAAGGCAAAUUCACUUCAGCCCAAAUUCACUUGAUGUUGCAGUUUUUUCUUAGUUCUUUAAGAUUGGUUUUAGAUGGAGAGCCGGUCCCAGUUUGGAUGCCAAUGUUGGUUUUUAGAUCAGUUAAUGGUUCAUUGCAACACAUGUUCUCCGUAUAAUUUGAUAUGCAAGGUUUUGAUGCAUAGUAAUAGUGAAUUUGGGCUGAAGGGAAGCAAGAGCAGCUAGCAGUAGCAGUUAUAACUGAAGUGAUAAUGGGCACUUCUCUCUUUUCUGAACAACACUUGAUUUUCUCAUAGUAAUAGUCCUUUACUGAAUUUAGUUGAUACAUAAAUGGUUAUUUACUGAACAAUACUUGUAUGUGGGUAGGUACGAUGGUGAUGAAGUUUUAAAAUGGUCCAUUGCCCAACAAGGGCAUCCUAAUUUCUUACUGGAUUAUACUGUAACAAUAUGAUACCGAAAUUUCAAAUGGUUGUAUAUUUGACCCAUACUAUGAUGGGCCAAGGCCUGCGUGGACAUGUUGUUCACAUACUAUAAUUCAUUUACAGGAGAUUGUAAACGUUUAGGCACCAUGUGUUGAGAAAUUGUGCAUUGAGAUAAAAGAUUAUAUAAUUGAUGCAAAGGCAUGUGAUAUAUAUUUGUUUCAGGAAGUGUGUUGAUUCAUGGAGAAUGAUAUUAUAAAUUAUUAGUAUAUUCAUGAAUUAGGUGUUGUGCACUGCAUGAAAUUUCAAUUUUUUUUUGAGAAAUCUAUCCUACAUCUGGUCAUGUUUCAAAUCAUGUGUUUUUGUCCAAACGGUUCAAAUCAUGUGUUUUUGUCCAAACGUGCGUUGCACGUGCAAGCUUACUAGUUAAGCAAAAGGAUACAAUGCCUAGAGUUUGCAUAUUUUCCUGUACAUAGUUUCCCAAUUUCCUCAGAAUCAUGUCUUAAGUAUAUGUUUCCUUAGUUGAUCUGGUGGUCAAAUUUUAACAUGAUCAGAAAAUUGAAGUUAACUAAAUGGAGUACUUGAGUUGUACAGGUUUCUAUCUACAUGGUUCUUUCAUUGUUUGGUGAACCAUCUCCAGGCCGAGAAGCUGGCGUGGUGAUCUUCGCACAGAGCAGCUGUUUUCAUUGAUCCAAGCUUCUACCACAGAUAAUAAAUGUUUAGCAUGCCUUAUCCCCGAAGAGCCGCUGUUAUCAUUAAUAUGUGGUAGAAGCUUGGAUCAAUAAUGUUGAUCUAUGCUAGAAGCUUGGAUCAAUGACAACAGUGGUGAUCUUCGAACAGAGUCGCUGUUGUCACCCGUUUUGAGUUGCUAGGAUCUAAAUGGGUCGUUUAGGUCGUAGCAACAUUACUGGAACCUCUCCAUUUCUGUUCAAAAUUAAAUAUUAAGAUUUAUUAUAACUGAGGUCAUGAGGAUUGCACAUA
This is an RNA transcript of Triticum aestivum (bread wheat), 4092 nucleotides long. RefSeq lists it as uncharacterized. The record is from RefSeq and is a predicted model, not a curated record. The transcript has 6 exons. Lineage: Eukaryota; Viridiplantae; Streptophyta; Magnoliopsida; Poales; Poaceae.